GGGGGCGGGAGGUUCGACCCGAGCGAAGCGAGAGAACGUUGCGCGAGCAACGGCCCGCAGGGCGAGCCACGUAGUGGUGAGUCAUCCUCUAUCACCGACCA
Molecule: small RNA, 101 nt
Filed under: Salmonella enterica
Lineage: Bacteria; Pseudomonadati; Pseudomonadota; Gammaproteobacteria; Enterobacterales; Enterobacteriaceae
Description: partial RtT sRNA
Rfam family: RtT RNA
About the family: This family represents a bacterial cis-regulatory element known as RtT RNA. The exact function of RtT is unknown although it is thought that it may be involved in changing the cellular response in relation to amino acid starvation.
Source: RNAcentral